This 343-nucleotide ribosomal RNA is filed under the name uncultured fungus. RNAcentral describes it as "eukaryotic LSU rRNA". The stretch from base 1 to 71 matches the Rfam family "5.8S ribosomal RNA", at positions 84 to 154 of the family's 154-position model. Lineage: Eukaryota; Fungi. The record is from RNAcentral.
GUGAAUCAUCGAAUCUUUGAACGCACCUUGCGCUCGCUGGUAUUCCGGCGAGCAUGCCUGUUUGAGUGUCAUGAACUCUUCAACCCUUCGGUUCCUUGUUGAACUCGUGAGGUGUUUGGAUUUUGAGCGGUUGCUGGUCUUUUCGGAGAUGAAGCUCGUUCGUAAUACAUUAGCAAACUAAACCUGAAUUGUUCGGAUUGACUCGGCGUAAUAGACUUUAUUCGCUGAGGACACCUCUAGUGGGUGGCCGAAUAUCGAGAUAUAGUAGCUUCUAACUCUACAAUUUGAAGUCAAAUUUAUAAGAUUAGACCUCAGAUCAGGCAGGACUACCCGCUGAACUUAA